RNAcentral lists this ribosomal RNA (2904 nucleotides) under human gut metagenome. RNAcentral's name for it is "bacterial LSU rRNA". It matches the Rfam family "Bacterial large subunit ribosomal RNA". The record is from RNAcentral.
UUAAGCGACUAAGCGUACACGGUGGAUGCCCUGGCAGUCAGAGGCGAUGAAGGACGUGCUAAUCUGCGAAAAGCGCCGGCGAGGUGAUAUGAACCCUUGACCCGGCGAUGUCCGAAUGGGGAAACCCAGUGCAAUCCGUUGCACUAUCGUUAACUGAAUACAUAGGUUAACGAGGCGAACCGGGGGAACUGAAACAUCUAAGUACCCCGAGGAAAAGAAAUCAACCGAGAUUCCCCCAGUAGCGGCGAGCGAACGGGGAGCAGCCCGGAGUCUGAAUCAGCUUGUGUGUUAGUGGAACGGUCUGGAAAGUCCGACGGUACAGGGUGAUAGUCCCGUACACGAAAAUGCACAUGCUGUGAACUCGAAGAGUAGGGCGGGACACGUGGUAUCCUGUCUGAAUAUGGGGGGACCAUCCUCCAAGGCUAAAUACUCCUGACUGACCGAUAGUGAACCAGUACCGUGAGGGAAAGGCGAAAAGAACCCCGGCGAGGGGAGUGAAAAAGAACCUGAAACCGUGUACGUACAAGCAGUGGGAGCCUCUUUAUGGGGUGACUGCGUACCUUUUGUAUAAUGGGUCAGCGACUUAUAUUCUGUAGCAAGGUUAACCGUAUAGGGGAGCCGAAGGGAAACCGAGUCUUAACUGGGCGUUAAGUUGCAGGGUAUAGACCCGAAACCCGGUGAUCUAGCCAUGGGCAGGUUGAAGGUUGGGUAACACUAACUGGAGGACCGAACCGACUAAUGUUGAAAAAUUAGCGGAUGACCUGUGGCUGGGGGUGAAAGGCCAAUCAAACCGGGAGAUAGCUGGUUCUCCCCGAAAGCUAUUUAGGUAGCGCCUCGUGAACUCAUCUUCGGGGGUAGAGCACUGUUUCGGCUAGGGGGCCAUCCCGGCUUACCAACCCGAUGCAAACUACGAAUACCGAAGAAUGUUAUCACGGGAGACACACGGCGGGUGCUAACGUCCGUCGUGAAGAGGGAAACAACCCAGACCGCCAGCUAAGGUCCCAAAGUCAUGGUUAAGUGGGAAACGAUGUGGGAAGGCACAGACAGCCAGGAUGUUGGCUUAGAAGCAGCCAUCAUUUAAAGAAAGCGUAAUAGCUCACUGGUCGAGUCGGCCUGCGCGGAAGAUGUAACGGGGCUAAACCAUGCACCGAAGCUGCGGCAGCGACACUUAUGUGUUGUUGGGUAGGGGAGCGUUCUGUAAGCCGUUGAAGGUGUGCUGUGAGGCAUGCUGGAGGUAUCAGAAGUGCGAAUGCUGACAUAAGUAACGAUAAAGCGGGUGAAAAGCCCGCUCGCCGGAAGACCAAGGGUUCCUGUCCAACGUUAAUCGGGGCAGGGUGAGUCGACCCCUAAGGCGAGGCCGAAAGGCGUAGUCGAUGGGAAACAGGUUAAUAUUCCUGUACUUGGUGUUACUGCGAAGGGGGGACGGAGAAGGCUAUGUCAGCCGGGCGACGGUUGUCCCGGUUUAAGCAUGUAGGCGGAGGUUCCAGGUAAAUCCGGUACCUUGUUAACGCUGAGGUGUGAUGACGAGGCACUACGGUGCUGAAGUGAUAAAUGCCCUGCUUCCAGGAAAAGCCUCUAAGCAUCAGGUAACACGAAAUCGUACCCCAAACCGACACAGGUGGUCAGGUAGAGAAUACCAAGGCGCUUGAGAGAACUCGGGUGAAGGAACUAGGCAAAAUGGUGCCGUAACUUCGGGAGAAGGCACGCUGAUGUGUAGGUGAAGCCCCUGCGGGUGGAGCUGAAAUCAGUCGAAGAUACCAGCUGGCUGCAACUGUUUAUUAAAAACACAGCACUGUGCAAACACGAAAGUGGACGUAUACGGUGUGACGCCUGCCCGGUGCCGGAAGGUUAAUUGAUGGGGUUAGCGGCAACGCGAAGCUCUUGAUCGAAGCCCCGGUAAACGGCGGCCGUAACUAUAACGGUCCUAAGGUAGCGAAAUUCCUUGUCGGGUAAGUUCCGACCUGCACGAAUGGCGUAAUGAUGGCCAGGCUGUCUCCACCCGAGACUCAGUGAAAUUGAACUCGCUGUGAAGAUGCAGUGUACCCGCGGCAAGACGGAAAGACCCCGUGAACCUUUACUAUAGCUUGACACUGAACACUGGUCCUUGAUGUGUAGGAUAGGUGGGAGGCUUUGAAGCGUGGACGCCAGUCUGCGUGGAGCCAACCUUGAAAUACCACCCUUUAAUGGCUGGUGUUCUAACGUAGACCCGUAAUCCGGGUUGCGGACAGUGUCUGGUGGGUAGUUUGACUGGGGCGGUCUCCUCCCAAAGAGUAACGGAGGAGCACGAAGGUUGGCUAAUCCUGGUCGGACAUCAGGAGGUUAGUGCAAUGGCAUAAGCCAGCUUGACUGCGAGCGUGACGGCGCGAGCAGGGGCGAAAGCAGGUCAUAGUGAUCCGGUGGUUCUGAAUGGAAGGGCCAUCGCUCAACGGAUAAAAGGUACUCCGGGGAUAACAGGCUGAUACCGCCCAAGAGUUCAUAUCGACGGCGGUGUUUGGCACCUCGAUGUCGGCUCAUCACAUCCUGGGGCUGAAGUAGGUCCCAAGGGUAUGGCUGUUCGCCAUUUAAAGUGGUACGCGAGCUGGGUUUAGAACGUCGUGAGACAGUUCGGUCCCUAUCUGCCGUGGGCGCUGGAGAAUUGAGGGGGGCUGCUCCUAGUACGAGAGGACCGGAGUGGACGCAUCACUGGUGUUCGGGUUGUCAUGCCAAUGGCACUGCCCGGUAGCUAAAUGCGGAAGAGAUAAGUGCUGAAAGCAUCUAAGCACGAAACUUGCCCCGAGAUGAGUUCUCCCUGAGACUUUAAGUCUCCUGAAGGAACGUUGAAGACGACGACGUUGAUAGGUCGGGUGUGUAAGCGCAGCGAUGCGUUGAGCUAACCGAUACUAAUGAACCGUGAGGCUUAACCUU